GCGACAGAGCGAGACUCCGUCUCAAAAAGAAAAAAAAAGAAAAAAAAGAGGGCAGGAAGAGGAAACAACAGUUGCGGAGCUGGACUUGAUGGAAGGGAGCAUUUGCGUGCGGCGCGCAGGGCACUGAGUCACCAUCGUGGCCGCGUCCUCGCGCUCUCCUAGCGAUUUCUCCGGAGAAAGCGGAGCAAGGUCAGCCGGGCAGCCCUUCAAGGACGGCGCGCCGCUCCUGCAUGCUGAUGGCCUGCGGGGCUGCCUGCCCGUGCCCCGGCGCCCAACUCCUACAAGGAAGAAAUUCAGGGGCUCCCCGCCCCCGCCACAGUCCUCUUCCCCCUCCCCAGCUGCAACUCGGCAGCCGUUCGUCAAAGACCCUGUUGUCACCGAGACACUGGGACCUUGUCUCAUCCUUGGAACCACUCGUAAAUCUUAGGUCAGGCAGCCGGCAGCCUUCGGGGACCACAGUCCCCCCAAAGCUUUAGGAAGCCAGUUACUACAUCCGGAAAGAUUCGUGCUUCAGAACGCAAGCCAGGGAGAAUAAUCACAGAAACGCAAUGCGAAUGUCGUGCCUCUCAGAAAUUCUUAGCCUGAAAUACCGUCCCCACCCCCCAACCCGGCCAGGCGACAGUCCUGUCAUCCUAACACCGCAGAGGCUCCAAGCGCUGGGAGUCGUGUGCCCGCGGCGCUCGCCACUGAGGCCGGUUGGAAGAUUCUAGGGUGCCCCUUCCCAGGUUCCAGCAGGCACUCCGGGAUGUUCUAGAGUCAGGCCAGGGAUUCAACAGCGAACCUGACCGAAACUCAAACCUCAGCACAAGAACUUUGAUGGGGGAAGUGCCCAGACUCCAAUACUCUCGACCUUGGCAUUUAGUAGUUUCUUCUUUGAACUGGAAAGAUCAAAUAAUGCACAGUAAAAUCUCAUGAUAAGGGUUCCACCAAGAAUUCGGGAUUUGUGUUAAUUCAUAAGGCAGAAGUGGCCCCUGUGCUAUCCAUGAAGAGUUUCUGUAUUUCUCUGCAAGGUCACAGGUAGGCUUUUUAACCAAUUAAAGAAAAACUCCAACAUUUAGAGGGCCCAUUAUUAUAAUAAUUCCUGUAUUUGUUUGCUGUCUGGCACAUAAAAACGUGCUUCACUUGCAUAUAUUAAUGAAUUUUCACCUCCUAGCCCCUGGCUAACCCAUUUUACAGCUGAAAGGACUAAAGCAACAGAUGCCCAAAGUAACUCACCUAGCAACAAGUCUUGGGAUUCUGAGAUGAGGUUCUUUCUCCCACACACACAGGCAGGCUGGCUUCUUGGGAGUGGGACUUGUUCAUUUGUCCCCACCACCACCAUUGAUUUUGACUGAUUGCUCCACUCUUGCUGUCUUCAAACUUUUGAACAAGGGGGUUUGCAUUUCUCUUUGCACUGGGCCAAAUUAUGAGGUAGGUCCUACACACAGGCUCCAAGAUGACAGUACUAAUUUUUCACUAAUUUUUCUCUACUUGGUGCUCAAGUGUAGAGUUUGAGGGGUACUAUCAUCUUCACUCCAGGCAAGGCACUGUUGUUUCUUUUGUAUUCCUGCUUAUUCUCCACCCCAUCAGGUGCUCACUCUGAUACCUGUCUUUGAGUGCUGUUUUCUUGGAAAAACAAAUCUAUUUUCAAGAAAUGAAUCAAAAUUAUCCUAAGAACUUUUUAAUUGCAAUAUAAUGCAUUUACAGAAAAGUACACAAAUCAUAAAUGUUCAGGUCGCUGUGUUUUCACAAGCUGAACACACCCAUGUAACCAGUACACAGAUCAAUUAUCGGCCCCCAGGAGUCCCCUCAUGUUCCUAUCUGGUUACUAUGUACUCAAGAGUAACCACUGUUCUGAAUCCUAACCCCAAAGAUCAGUGCUUCCUGUUUUGUGUUUUAUAUAAAUGCAAUUAUACAUUAUAUAUUAUUUUGUGUCUGCCUUCUUUUGCUUAACGUUGCUAUGAGAUUUAUCCAUGCUGUUGCAUGUGGUGGGCAGAAUUACAAGAAGACCCCCAAGAUUCCUCACCCCUUCUUGUAUGCACAUUCCCAUAGGUAUUGAUCUAGGCGCUGCUGUGAAGGGAAUUUGCAGAUGUAAUUGGCCUAAAUCAGUUGGCUUUAAUAUCAGGAAAUUGUCCUCAGUGGGCAUGGCCAUAUGGAGCCCUUACAAGGGACUGGGCUCUUCCUGGUGAAAAAGAUUUGAAUCACGAGAGUGGCUGAUAUGAGGGAAAUUCUUUGCUGUUGCCUUCGAAGACAGAAGAGGUCCACAAGGCAAAGGAUGCAGACAGCCUGUAGGAGCUGAGACUGGCUCCUGGCUGACAGCCAGCAAGGAAAUGAGGACCUCAGUCCUCCAAUCAUGAAGCAGACUCCGACUUCUGCUAACAACCUGAAUACACUUCAAAGAGGAUUCUGAGCUCCAGCCGCCUACACAUUGAUUUCAGCUGUUGGGACCCUCAGCCGAGAACCCAGCUAUGCCGUGCCCAGAUGUAAGACCUACACAUCUGUGAGCUUCAGGAGAAUGUGAGCAUGGCACAUGGCAAUCCAGAAAAAAGACUGCAUUUCCCAGCCUCCCUUACAGCUGCUGAGACCACAGGGCUAAGUUCCUGCCAAUGAGAGGUAGGCAUCAAUUUGCAACUUACAGGAACCUUUCUGAGGAGGAUUAGCCUUUGUCCCUCCUUUUCCUCCCUUCCUCCAUCCUGCUGCUUGGUUUGUGAAUGCUGCUACCUUAGACCAUAAGGACAGAAAACAUGUCCCGGGACUGGCAGAGCAGUAAGCCAAAAGGAACCAGGGUCCCGUAAGACGAUGGAGCAGAGCCUUUUUACCAGCCCUGGAUAGCAAAGUUCUAAACAAAUAUAUGUCUAGAUUAUUUAAGCCACUGACAGCUUGGGUUGUCUUGGUAUUUGUGACAGAAACUAAUACUAGUUCAAUGGCUUUUGAGUAGAGCCCUAAAAGAAAUGAGGGAGCAAAGCAUGUAGAUAUCUGGAAGAAAAAGCAUUCUAAGAGGAAAAAAAAAACAAGGGUAAAAGCUCCUGAUGUGGGGUCAUGCUCAGAGUAUUUGAGGAACAGCAAGGAAGCUAGGGUGCCUGGAAUAAAGGGAGAAUGUUAAAAAAUGAGGACAAGAAGUAUUGAUGGAGGGUUCAGAUGAUAAUAGGGUUAUUUUUAAAGUAAAAACUGGUUCAUUCAUAUAAAAUAUGUACAUAACCAUGUAUAUUUUGAAGAAUAAGGAAAACAUCUUUGUAAUCACCACCAAGGUAAGGAAAAUGUUGCCAGGACCUUGAAGUCUUUCUCUGUGGCUCAUCCUCUUCCCUGCCCCAGAAACAACCACUAUCUCCAAUUUUUUUAUAAUCAGCAUGUAGCUUUAUUUUAUAGAUGCAAAACCUACAUAUAUUUCUCUUGAUGAAACUGCUGGGUCUACUGGGUGUGCACAUGUAUAAAUUUACUAGAUAAUGCCAAACUUUUCCAAAAUAGCUAUGCUUAUUCUACCAUAGUGAAUUAAAGUUCCCUUUGUCCUGCAUUCUCAGUGCUUUUAGAUUUUAAUUAAAAGUGUGUAAUGACUGAAAUGUACACUUUAAAAUGGUUGGUGGUAAAUUUUAUGUGUCAUACAACUCAGACAAAAAAGUGUGGAAUGGCAUCUGUUUCUGUUUUUCCCUGUACUGAGAUUAAAUAUUUUUUUACAUUUACGAAGAUUUUCAGAUACCUCCUAUGUGAAUUGCCUGUUCAGUCUUUCACCCAUUUAACAUUUUGUAGUCUGGCUGGGUGCAGUGGCUCACUCCUGUAAUCCCAGCACUUUGGGAGUCCGAGGCGGGCAGAUUGCUUGAGCUCAGGAGUUUGAGGCUAGCCUGGGCAACAUGGUGAAACCCUGUCUCUACCAAAAAUACAAAAACUUAGCCGGGUGUGGUGGUGCGUGUCUGUGGUCUCUGCUACUUGGGGAGCUGAGGUGGGAGGCUGCAGUGAGCCGAGAUUGCGACACUGCACUCCAGCCUGGGUGACAAUGAGACUCCAUCUCAAAAAAAUAUAUAUUAAAAAAUUUUUAUAGUCUGUCUCUUAAUUCACAGGAAGAUUUUGUAUUUUCUGAAUUCUAGUCCUUUGUAUGAUGAAUGUUGCCAAGUAUCUCCUCACAGCAUAUAGUCAGUCUUUUCGCUCUUUCUGGUAACUUCGGAGGAAACUUUUUUGACAGGGUCUCACUGUCAACCAGGCUGGAGUGCAGUGGCCUGAUCACAGCUUACUGCAGCCUCGACUUCCCCGGCCCAAGUGAUCCUCCCACCUCAGCCUCCCAAGUAGCUGGGACGACAGGCAUGUGCCACCAUGCCUAGCUAAUUUUUAAAUUUUUUGCAGAGACAGAGUCCCUAUGUUACCCAGGCUAGUCUCGAACUCCUAGGUUCAAGCGAUCCUCUUGCCUUGGCCUCUCAAAAUGCUGGAUUACAGAUGUGAACUAUCUUACUCAAAGCAGGAGGCAGUCUACAGAGUAAAAUCAUAAAAUAAAUGCAGAAAAAGCAUUUGAUACAAUUUAGCAUCCAUUUACCUAGGAAUAGGAGCGAAUUUUCUUACCUGAUGAGGGUUAUCUCUUAACUACAUUAAUCCAUUAACAAAACAUUGCAUUCACUUUUAUUUUUAAUUAUUUAUUUAAUUUUGGAGACAGGCCAUGACAUCCAGCCUGCAUUCAGUUUUUCUGAGGUAAAACCAUCAUUAAAUUCCUGGGAUAAAUCCAACAAAUCAGUAUUUUGUUAUCCUUUUUAAAACUUCAUAUUCAGUUUGCAAGUAUUUCAAAUUUUUAUAACUGUAAUUAUCAGUGAUACUAGCUUACAUUUUUUCUUUUUCAUACUAUCCUUGUUGAGUUUGGUGUCUCAAACUCCUGAGUUCAAGCCAUCCUUACCCUCACAAAGUGUUGGGAUUACAGGCAUGCGCCACCAAGCCCGGCCACGUAUAACUUUAGGAUGGUUUUACCUAGUAAUAAUUCUGUGGCUGUUUUGUUUGAUACUAAUACAACUACAUCAGAAUUCUCUAGGUUACAAUUUGCUCAGUGUAGCUUUUGCUAUCUUUUAAAUUUCAACAUUUAUUAUUCUUAUGUUUUAUGUCUUUUAUAAAUAGUAUAUUAUUUAAUAUUUGAUCAUCUUUGUCUCAUAACUGGAGCAUUUAGUCUAUUUUCACUUAGUGUAAAAGUGGUCAACAUGCAAGGACAGAUGAAAACUAGAAGAGUCAAAGGCAAAAGCUAGAAAUCAAAACACCAUCAUACAAACGAAGAAUCCCAUCAAUGAGCUCAUCAACAGACUGGACCCAGCUGAGGAAAGAGCUGAUGGACUUGAACAAAUGUCAGUAAAAACUGUCAAAACUGAAAUGCGAAGAGGAAAAAUGAAAAAAUGCACAACAAAAUAUUCAAGAGCUAUGGAACAGUUACAAAAAGUGUAAUACACAAAUGGGAAUACUAGAGGGAGAAGAAAGGGAACAGAAGAAAUAUGUGAAAUAAUAACAGAGAAUUUCCCAACAUUAGUGAUAGACACACCACAGAUCCGAGAAAUUCUGAGAACACCAAAAAGGGUAAAUACCAAAAAAGUCUACACUUAGGCAUAUGAUAUUCAAACUGCAAAAAAUCAGACAAAGAGAAAAUCUUCAAAGAAUCCAGAAGAACAAAACACUCUACCUAUACAGGGGCAUAAAUAAAAAUUACUUUGUACUUCUCUUCAGAAACCACGUAAGCAAUAAAAAAGGACUAAUAUACUUAAACAUCAUACCGGAAAUCUUAGCUAAUGCAGUAAGAUAAGACAAGGUAUGCAGACUGGGAAGAAAGAAAUGAAACUUUCUUCACAGAUGGCAUGAUUAUUACGAUUAUAAAGAAAAUCAAAAAGAAUUGAUGGGGAAACUUCUGAAACUAAUAAAUGAUUACAGCAAAGUUGGAGAAUACAAAGCUGAUAUAUAGAAGUCCAUUGCUUUCUUAUAUAUAAGAAAUGAACAGUUGGAAUUUGAAAUAAAAACACAGUAUCAUUUACAUUGGCAUCAUUUACAUUAGUAUUUCAUUACCAAAUGCAAUACUUAGGUAUAAACCUAACACAAUAUAUCUACAUGAGGAAAGAUCUACAUGAGGAAAAUUAUAAGACCCUGAUGAAAGAAAUCAAAGGACUAAAUAACUAGAAGAGAUAUUCCAAUUCCAUGUCUAUGAAUAAGAAGACAAUAUCAUCAAGAUGUCAGUUUUUCCCAACUUGAUCUAUAGAAUCAACACAGUUCCAGUCAAAAUCUCAGCAAGCUAUUUUGUGGAUUCCUACAAAUACAACAAUGAAGAAGAACAAUGUCUGAGGACUGACUCUACGUGACUUCAUGACUAACCAUAAAGCUAUAGUAAUCAAAACAGUGUAGUAUUGGCAAAAGGUGAGACAAACAGAUCAAUGGAACAGAAAAGAGAGCUUAGAAAUAGACUCUCAUAAAUACAGUCAACUAGUUUUUUUUAAAUUUUUAAAAUUGUUUUAUUUUUUGAGAUGGAGUCUCGCUCUGUUGCCCAGACUGGAGUGCAGGGGCAUGAUCUCGAGUCACUGCAACCUCCACCUCCCAGGUUCAAGUGAUUCUCCUGUAUCUGCCUCCUGAGUAGCUGGGACUACAGGCACGCACACCCCCACACCUGGCUAAUUUUUGUAUUUUUAGUAGAGACAGGGUUUCACCAUGUUGGCCAGGCUGGUCUCGAACUACUCAUGUCAAGUUAUCAGCCCGCCUCAGCCUCCUAAAGUGCUGGGAUUACAGGCACGAGCCACUGCAUCUGGCCCUGAUUUUUGACUAAGGAACAAAGGCAAUGGAAAAAAGAUAUCUUUUCACCAAAUGGUGCUGGAACUGGUAAGCCACAUGUAAAAAAUAAGUCUACAAACAGACUUCAUCCUCUAUACAAAAAUUAACUCAAAUUGGAUCAAAGUCCUAAAUGUAAGAGUUAAAAUCUAUAAAACUCUUGGAAGAAAAAAUGAGGGUAAGUCUUCAUGACCUCGAAUUUGGUUGGCAGUGGAUUUUUAGAUAGAAAACCAAAAGCAUGAACAACAAAGAAAAAGACAGAUUGGAGACUUCAUCAAAAUUUAUGUGUGCUUCAAAGGAUAGUAUCAAGAAAGUGAAAAGGCAAUCCACAAAAUGGGAGAAAAUGUUUGCAACUUUGUAUUUCUUAAUGAGGGCCUUUAUCUACAAUAUAUGAAAUACUCUUAAAACUAAAUAAUAAAGUCAGAUAGCCCAAUUAAAACAUAUGCAAAGGAUCUGAAUACAUAUUUCUCCAAAGAAAUAUACAAAUCACCAGGCUGGGCACAGUGGCUCACACCUGUAAUCCCAGCACUUUUGGAGGCUGAGAUGGGCGGACCACUUGAGCCCAGGAGUUUGAGACCAUCCUGGGCAACUAUCUGUACCAAAAAAUUAAAAAAAAAAAUUAGCUGGGCAUGGUGGAAAAAAAAAAGCCAGGUGUGGUGGUGUGCACCUGUAGUUCCAUCUACUCAGGAGGCUGAGGUGGGAGGAUCACUUGAACUCAGGAGGUGGAGGUUACAGUGAUUGAGAUCAUGCAACUGCACCCCAGCCUGGGUGAAAGAGUGAGACGCUGUCUCUAAAAAAAGAAAGAAAAAAAAUACAAAUGACCAAUAAACACAUGAAAAAAAAUGUUCAACAUCAUUUGAUAAAUGAUCAUUAGAGAAAUACAAAUCAAAACCAUAAUCAGAUAAUAUUUCCAACCCACUAGGCUGGCUGUAAUAAAAAAUAGUAGUAACAAAUGGUGAGAAUUGAAGAAACUGGAACCAUCGCAUAUUGCAGGGGGUAAUUUACAACGGUAAACAGCCACUUUGGAAAAGCCUGGCAGUUCCUCAAAAUGUUAAACAUGGAAUUAUAUAUGACCCAUCAAUUCUACUCCUACGUAUAUAACCUAGAGAAAUGAAAACAUAUGGAUACAAACACGUGUACAUCAAUGUUCACAGCAGCAUCACUUAUAAUAGCCAAACUGUGGAAACAAUCCAAAAGUCUACCAGCUAGUGAAUGAAUAAACAAAGCAUGGUAUAUCCAUACAAUGUUGUUGUUAUUCGGCCAUAAAAUGGAAUAAAAUACUGAUACAUCUACAGCAUAGAUGAACUUUGAAAACAUUAGGCUAACUGAAUAAAGCCAGUCACAAGACCACAUACAUGAUUCCAUAUGAAGUGUUCAGAACAAGCAAAUACCUAGAAACAGAAAGUAGAUUAGUGGUUGCCUAGUGUUGGGAAGUGUAGUGCAAUGAAUGGGGAGUGAUUGCUAAUGGGUAUGUAGUUUCUUUUUAGGGUAAGAAUAAUGCACUAAAACUGAUCGUGGUGAUGAUUACACAAUGCUGUGAAAAAUACUAAAAAAAGCAAUAAACCAUACACUUUAAAUGGG
This is a non-coding RNA of Homo sapiens (human), 8322 nucleotides long. The record is from RefSeq and is a predicted model, not a curated record. NCBI's taxonomy places the organism in Eukaryota, Metazoa, Chordata, Mammalia, Primates, Hominidae.